AAAUUGAAGAGUUUGAUCAUGGCUCAGAUUGAACGCUGGCGGCAGGCCUAACACAUGCAAGUCGAACGGUAACAGGAAGCAGCUUGCUGCUUCGCUGACGAGUGGCGGACGGGUGAGUAAUGUCUGGGAAACUGCCUGAUGGAGGGGGAUAACUACUGGAAACGGUAGCUAAUACCGCAUAACGUCGCAAGACCAAAGAGGGGGACCUUCGGGCCUCUUGCCAUCGGAUGUGCCCAGAUGGGAUUAGCUAGUAGGUGGGGUAACGGCUCACCUAGGCGAC
RNAcentral lists this ribosomal RNA (280 nucleotides) under Escherichia coli. RNAcentral describes it as "partial 16S ribosomal RNA". It matches the Rfam family "Bacterial small subunit ribosomal RNA", at positions 1 to 277 of the family's 1533-position model. RNAcentral also lists the same sequence under 1 other name. The record is from RNAcentral. Lineage: Bacteria; Pseudomonadati; Pseudomonadota; Gammaproteobacteria; Enterobacterales; Enterobacteriaceae.